GGCUCUGUAGUGAAGUUCAUAUUGAGUUGCAAGCUCAUUGAUGCACAUUAGAUGUGUGCCGGGGCCU
RNAcentral lists this transfer RNA (67 nucleotides) under Zapornia atra (Henderson crake). RNAcentral describes it as "tRNA-Cys". The record is from RNAcentral. Lineage: Eukaryota; Metazoa; Chordata; Aves; Gruiformes; Rallidae.